This 1941-nucleotide long non-coding RNA is filed under the name Capsicum annuum. Its description in RNAcentral is "long non-coding RNA (CANN_LNC011825)". The record is from RNAcentral. Lineage: Eukaryota; Viridiplantae; Streptophyta; Magnoliopsida; Solanales; Solanaceae.
UAACAAGAAAAUUACCUGGCUCAAAUCCACAGCAUAAUAAUCCAACAUCACAACCAACGCACCAACACAACACAAUUCACCAAAAUCAUCAACAAUGCACCAAUACCACCAAAUAACAAUAUGAAAUCUAUCUCUAAAAAUAAGAGGAGGUCAAAUACUUCACAAAAUUAAAAUAAUAGAAGAAUACUCAAACUCUAAAGAAGUGACUAUGGAGCGACUCUAAGAGUUUCAAGAAAAAGAACAUAACAAUUAAAUAAACUGUUGCCCACGCGAACAAAUGCAGGGCUCGCCAUGAAUAUCCAACUCGAAUACUCUACCUACCAAAAUCCUUACUAACGUCACCUGCGUUCUUUGUAAAAAAAUAGUGAGGAGUGAGACAUUAGCUCAAUGAGUAAUAACACUUAACUACAACCGUUUUAAUAGGAUAAGUCAUAAAACAUCAUGAAAUAAAUGCACUUUAAGAAAUAAAAUAACAAUAAGUAGUAUCAUUUGUUUCAUGUAAGCAAAAUGAUCCAAUAGUUAAGGGAUAAACUCAAUAAGCAUUAUAUCAUAUCAAAUAUUACAUAUUUGGGAGGUUUCCAUGAAUGAAUCACGUAAUCAAUGUGGUAUUCCACUUCAAAAAUAGCCAAUAACAGUGAACCCCUCAUAAAAGAGUCAAAAAUCAUAUCAGUAAGUCCCUACUCGAGGGACAUCAGUAAUAGUAUGCUAGUUCUACCUUCCCACUAGCGAGGGCUGUAACAGUAAUCAGUAACUACAAGGUGCACCAAGUCUAACGAUCCCGCCAUUAGCUAAGGGAUUCAAAUCAAGGUCUACUCUCACUUAUAUUUUCUUUCUAAACAAUAGAUAUUCAUAUGAAAGUAUUUUUCAGAAUAGUCCAUAGCAUUUAAAGUUCAUAUCAAAUCACAUUACUUGUAAACUUGAAUAAAAUACAUGUAAAAAUACUUAUUUCUCAUGUGAGUGAAAAACUUUCAUAACAUCAGUGAUCAUAUCUCAAGUAACGGUAAAUAUGUUUUAUGAACAUCUCAAAUACCCAAUUUCAGUAUCAUAUCGAGAAAAAGACUUGUCCCACAUGCAAUUUCAAAACAUUCAGUAAUUCUUGUUUCAUCAAAAUCAUGUAUAAAAUGGCAAGUUAAGAAACACAAAUCUUGAGAAGGUUACUACUCACAGUACUUCUUGUUAGAAUACCAAACUCAUCACCUCGAGAAAUUAGGAUGAGUUUCUUCGACCAAUCUAUAAUCACAUCAUAUCAACUCCGUAUCAAUUCUCUUAUUUAAGCAAAACUCGUAACUAAUUCAGCACACCCAACGCCCGACUUAGUUUGAGUCUCAAUUAGUCAAAUUAUAUUUAUUCAUGCUAGUAGUAACUCAAUUAGUCCACAAUUUCUCAAUUUCAGCUUAUUCAUCCAAUUCUUUACCCAAAAAUCUAAUUUUCCUGGCCUAACAUAGAGCAAAAUAACUUUACUGUUAAUCAUACUUUUCUAUGGAAUUCAAUUUCUAAUAACCAAUAGAAAUCUCAAGUCUCCAAUAACAAAACAUACAAAUUAGAAGAAAACUCAACAUUUAAAGUUCCGGAAAUACCCGAAAUAGUUGUAGCAGCUUAUGAUUUCUUGAUAUUGUAAAUAUGGUUCCACGAAAGCUCAACUACUGCUCCAUACUAGCAUACCCAUGAAUAAUCAUAGAUUAAAAAUACCAGAACUAUUGGGAGAAGUAAUACUAAGUUCACCAAAGUUUUUCUGUUUCCCCAACUUGGCAGAACUCUUGCAAACGUAUUGUUAUAAAUUUCUUGUUCUCAUUGAGUCUCUUAUCCGGUUUUUUUUCCUCAACACAGAUUUUACCUUGCCCUUGACUAUUGGUCUUUAAAAUCCUUAUUUUAUUAAGUUUAUUCAAAAUGACCCCUUUGUCCUUAUUUAAAUAUGGGGUAGUACAAGAUGCACGCCCCAGG